Molecule: ribosomal RNA, 290 nt
Filed under: uncultured bacterium
Lineage: Bacteria
Description: partial 16S ribosomal RNA
Rfam family: Bacterial small subunit ribosomal RNA
Source: RNAcentral
GUGGAUUAGAUACCCGGGUAGUCCACGCCGUAAACGAUGAGUGCUAGGUGCUGCGGGUAUUGACCCCUGCGGUGCCGUAGCUAACGCGUUAAGCACUCCGCCUGGGGAGUACGGCCGCAAGGCUAAAACUCAAAGGAAUUGACGGGGGCCCGCACAAGCGGUGGAGCAUGUGGUUCAAUUCGACGCAACGCGCAGAACCUUACCUGGGUUAAAUCCACUCGAACCUUGCAGAGAUGUGGGGGUGCUCUUCGGAGAGCGAGUGAGAAGGUGCUGCACGGCCGUCGACAACU